This 450-nucleotide ribosomal RNA is filed under the name uncultured bacterium. Its description in RNAcentral is "bacterial SSU rRNA". It matches the Rfam family "Bacterial small subunit ribosomal RNA", at positions 355 to 825 of the family's 1533-position model. The record is from RNAcentral.
UCAAGAAACUUCCACAAUGGGCGAAAGCCUGAUGGAGCGACGUCGCGUGAUGGACGAAGUGCUUCGGCACGUAAACAUCUUUUAUGUGGGAUGAAAUUAUUGACAGUACCACAUGAAUAAGGGGCUCCUAACUCUGUGCCAGCAGGAGCGGUAAUACAGAGGCCCCAAGCGUUAUCCGGAAUCACUGGGCGUAAAGGGUGUCGAGGCGGUUGUAUUAGUCGUUCGUAAAAUCUACGAGCUUAACUUGUAGGCGGCGAACGAAACGGUACGACUUGAGGUUUGGAGAGGUGCGUGGAACUCACGGUGUAGGGGUGAAAUCCGUUGAUAUCGUGGGGAACACCAAAGGCGAAGGCAGCGCACUGGCCAAAAUCUGACGCUCACACACGAAAGCUAGGGUGGCGAAGAGGAUUAGAUACCCCCGUAGUCCCUGAGCGGGCUGGCAAGGCGCAU